UGGGAGACUGAUACACAAAUAGAGCUUAAAAAUCCGCUCUAAUUGUCACAAGUUCCUCCCUAUAGUAAAACUGCCUUCUGAUGACCGGGACGAAUUGAGGGAAAUUGUAACGGACAGAUACGGGGCAGACAACA
Pelodiscus sinensis (Chinese soft-shelled turtle) is the source of this 134-nucleotide small nucleolar RNA. Ensembl annotates it as small Cajal body-specific RNA 8. Its record names the gene SCARNA8. NCBI's taxonomy places the organism in Eukaryota, Metazoa, Chordata, Testudines, Trionychidae. The record is from Ensembl.